GGGCGGCUGGUCCAACGGGAAGACGCCUGGUUUGCACCCAGGAGAUCGGGGUUCGAUUCCCCGGCCGGUCCA
This 72-nucleotide transfer RNA is filed under the name Paludisphaera borealis. Its description in RNAcentral is "tRNA-Ala". It matches the Rfam family "tRNA". From Rfam's summary of the family: Transfer RNA (tRNA) molecules are approximately 80 nucleotides in length. Their secondary structure includes four short double-helical elements and three loops (D, anti-codon, and T loops). Lineage: Bacteria; Pseudomonadati; Planctomycetota; Planctomycetia; Isosphaerales; Isosphaeraceae. The record is from RNAcentral. RNAcentral also lists the same sequence under 1 other name.